UGGGGAAUAUUGGACAAUGGGCUCAAGCCUGAUCCAGCCAUGCCGCGUGAGUGAUGAAGGCCCUAGGGUUGUAAAGCUCUUUCGGCGGGGACGCCGGGCUAACACCACGGACUAAUGACGGUACUCGCAGAAGAAGCACCGGCUAACUAC
RNAcentral lists this ribosomal RNA (150 nucleotides) under uncultured bacterium. RNAcentral's name for it is "partial 16S ribosomal RNA". It matches the Rfam family "Bacterial small subunit ribosomal RNA", at positions 355 to 504 of the family's 1533-position model. The record is from RNAcentral.